Long non-coding RNA from Thalassophryne amazonica, 510 nucleotides. RefSeq lists it as uncharacterized. The transcript has 4 exons. NCBI's taxonomy places the organism in Eukaryota, Metazoa, Chordata, Actinopteri, Batrachoidiformes, Batrachoididae. The record is from RefSeq and is a predicted model, not a curated record.
AAGGUGGGAGGGCGUACUGCAGGGCAGUAGGACUACGGCAACAGGGAGCAUGGACAAGGUGGGAGAGCGCACUACAGUGCAGGAUCACCUGGACAAACAUCUUGCAGCCAGAUUUUCAGCGGGUCCGCUUCCUGGUGCAAGCUGUCUACGAUGCUCUGCCAAGUCCAGCGAACCUCCAUGUGUGGGGGAAAAGUGAGACACCUUCCUGCCCACUGUGCUCUGGUAGAGGCUCUUUAGAACACCUCCUCAGUGGCUGCCCAAAGGCUCUGGCAGAUGGUCGCUAUCGCUGGCGCCAUGACCAGGUGCUUAAGGCAGUCGCUGAGAGCGUAGCCUCAGCCAUCAGCUCCAGCAAGAACCAUCAUGCUCCAAAGAAGGCAAUCUCCUUUGUUAAAGCUGGAGAAAAACCCAGAGCAAACCAACAUGCAACAUCAGGACUGCUCCACACAGCAGCUGACUGGCAGUUGCAGGUUGACCUGGGUAGGCAGCUGAGGUUCCCCCAGCACAUCGCAA